This 301-nucleotide ribosomal RNA is filed under the name uncultured bacterium. RNAcentral describes it as "partial 16S ribosomal RNA". It matches the Rfam family "Bacterial small subunit ribosomal RNA", at positions 509 to 808 of the family's 1533-position model. The record is from RNAcentral.
CAGUCGCCACGGUAAUACGUAGGUGGCAAGCGUUGUCCGGAUUUACUGGGCGUAAAGCGAACGCAGGCGGACUGUUAAGUAGGAAGUGAAAGGUAGGAGCUCAACUCCAACAUUGCUUCCUAUACUGGCAGUCUUGAGUAGCGGAGAGGAAGGGGGAACGACACGUGUAGCGGUGAAAUGCGUUGAUAUGUGUCGGAACACCCAUGGCGAAAGCACCCUUCUGGACGCAAACUGACGCUCAGGUUCGAAAGCCAAGGUAGCGAACAGGAUUAGAUACCCCUGUAGUCCCUGUCUCUUAUAU